GUAAAGGGAGCGUAGGCGGCGUGGUAAGUCAGAUGUGAAAUCCCGGGGCUCAACCCCGGAACUGCAUCCGAUACUGCCAUGCUAGAGGAUUGGAGAGGUAGCUGGAAUUCUUGGUGUAGCAGUGAAAUGCGUAGAGAUCAAGAGGAACACUCGUGGCGAAAGCGAGCUACUGGACAAUUCCUGACGCUGAGGCUCGAAGGCUAGGGUAGCGAAAGGGAUUAGAUACCCCUGUAGUCCUAGCAGUAAACGGUGCACGCUUGGUGUGAGGGGAAUCGACCCCCCUUGUGCCGGAGCUAACGCGUUAAGCGUGCCGCCUGGGAAGUACGGUCGCAAGACUAAAACUCAAAGAAAUUGACGGGGACCCGCACAAGCGGUGGAGUAUGUGGCUUAAUUCGAUGCAACGCGAAGAACCUUACCAAGGCUUGACAUGCAUCUCUAAACACGUGAAAGCGUGUGACCCUUCGGGGAAUUUGCACAGGUGCUGCAUGGCCGUCGUCAGCUCGUGUCGUGAGAUGUUGGGUUAAGUCCCGCAACGAGCGCAACCCUUGUGAUUAGUUGCCAGCACGUCAAGGUGGGAACUCUAGUCAGACUGCCCAGAUCAACUGGGAGGAAGGUGGGGACGACGUCAGGUCAGUAUGGCCCUUACGCCUUGGGCUGCACACGUACUACAAUGCCCAGCACAAUGAGAACCGAUACCGCGAGGUGGAGGAAAUCUGUAAAACUGGGCUCAGUUCGGAUUGGAGGCUGCAACUCGCCUCCAUGAAGUUGGAAUCGCUAGUAA
This 781-nucleotide ribosomal RNA is filed under the name uncultured bacterium. RNAcentral's name for it is "bacterial SSU rRNA". It matches the Rfam family "Bacterial small subunit ribosomal RNA", at positions 560 to 1341 of the family's 1533-position model. The record is from RNAcentral.